UCAUGUACGCAUAAAUUAUGUUUUUAUUUUGAAAACAUAGCCGUUCCUUGGCAUUGGCUGAGUUCACCCUCACGUGGUGGUUCAGAGUGAAGUGAACUCUAAAGUUUUACCUCAGGAGUUACCCUACGCGCCUCUCUGGCCAAGGUAAGAAUAUACUCGGAUUUCGUGCCUCUCUAAUAGGCUGGUCCACAGAACCCGCCACUGCAGUGACCAAUCUAUAACCCACCAAUUCAAUAAAAAUUCAACAGCAUGACAUGGUAAUUUUAUCAUUAUCC
RNAcentral lists this long non-coding RNA (275 nucleotides) under Theobroma cacao (cacao). RNAcentral describes it as "long non-coding RNA (TCAC_LNC002357)". The record is from RNAcentral. Lineage: Eukaryota; Viridiplantae; Streptophyta; Magnoliopsida; Malvales; Malvaceae.